This 224-nucleotide small RNA is filed under the name Drosophila erecta. Its description in RNAcentral is "GG26592". Lineage: Eukaryota; Metazoa; Arthropoda; Insecta; Diptera; Drosophilidae. The record is from RNAcentral.
CAGAGUAAACAAGAAUUCAGGAGUUAUGUGACAGAAUAAAGUAAAGCCUCCGUGGUUCAAUACCAAAUCAAUUGAAAUAUGUACACUCGCUUUGCAGGAUGCAUCCACGGUAAUUACACCAUUCUGCUUUAAAAGGACACACCUCCUUCAAAUGUAACGACUCGAAUCCAGAUGAUAUAUUGCAACGAUGCCUCUCGUGCAGGCGCAUUAAGUUCGCUUAUUGC